AAAGUCUUUUAUAAUAAAAAUUAAAAUAUUAUAAAUUUUAUUUUUAGGGGGCCAAAUUAAUUUUUUUAACAAAAUUUAUGUCUUGAUUUUUUUUUUUUCGAAUUUCUUGUUGGAACAAUUACCGCACAUAAAAUCUGAUUGUGAUUUAAAUCUAACUAAAUUUUAUGAUAAAAUUAAUAAAAUCAACUUACCGAUAAUCGCUAAAUCCAAAUAAAAAAUUUGAUCAAUCCGGAAGCGUGCGAGGCACUGCCCUAAGGCGUAUUCCCGUCCUUACGUGCGGGAUUAACCGGAAAUAACACCCCAAGGUACGACCGGAAUUUCUCCUCCUGCGAGCACGAUCGUGAAGAAGGUUGACGGAGACUCUUUCAACACCCGAUGACAAAGAAAUCAAGUAAAUAAACAAUUGAUAAAAACUUAAAUUAAAACCCUCUUUUCACUUGUUGUUUUUCCACGGUGUUCAUAUAUCUAUAAACAGUAGAACAAGUGUAUAUAAAUAUAUAUACAGGGGAAUGAGAAAACUUAACGUUGGGAUUCCCAACGUUAACAUUUUCUCAAUUAGCCCUUUUAAUUAGCACCCACAUGAAUGUCCGCAUGGAUUCCAUGCGGACAAGUAGCGCGAGCAUGCGUAACGUCCGCGCGUGCACAGUGCGUGCGGACGUUCGCUUAAAAAAUAAAUUAAAUUAAUAUUUUAAAAUAUGAAAUUUAGAGAUUUUGGAUUUUCUCCAACAUUUCUUACUCCUUUCCCUUCAACUCUUACAGUCUUGUUUCUUUCUUAGCAUAUUGUCGUUAUCAGUGAAUCUGACAAAUAUUUUUUUUCUUAUUAUUCGAGGUCGAAUUUUUUUCUAUCAAAUUUAAAUUUUAGCCCCCCCGAAUCUUAAUUUCUGGCUUCAUCCCUCACUAUGCAGAAUUAAAGUUACUUCCCAC
RNAcentral lists this long non-coding RNA (924 nucleotides) under Ananas comosus (pineapple). RNAcentral describes it as "long non-coding RNA (ACOM_LNC020457)". Lineage: Eukaryota; Viridiplantae; Streptophyta; Magnoliopsida; Poales; Bromeliaceae. The record is from RNAcentral.